RNAcentral lists this ribosomal RNA (1385 nucleotides) under Chloridium bellum var. bellum. RNAcentral's name for it is "partial large subunit ribosomal RNA". It matches the Rfam family "Eukaryotic large subunit ribosomal RNA", at positions 1 to 1416 of the family's 3401-position model. Lineage: Eukaryota; Fungi; Ascomycota; Sordariomycetes; Chaetosphaeriales; Chaetosphaeriaceae. The record is from RNAcentral.
UUGACCUCGAAUCAGGUAGGAAUACCCGCUGAACUUAAGCAUAUCAAUAAGCGGAGGAAAAGAAACCAACAGGGAUUGCCUUAGUAACGGCGAGUGAAGCGGCAACAGCUCAAAUUUGAAAUCUGGCCUUCUGGUCCGAGUUGUAAUUUGCAGAGGAUGCUUCGGGCGCGGUGCCUUCCAAGUCCCCUGGAACGGGGCGCCGGAGAGGGUGAGAGCCCCGUACGGUUGGCGGCCAAGCCUGUGUGAAGCUCCUUCGACGAGUCGAGUAGUUUGGGAAUGCUGCUCUAAGCGGGAGGUAGACCCCUUCUAAAGCUAAAUACCGGCCAGAGACCGAUAGCGCACAAGUAGAGUGAUCGAAAGAUGAAAAGCACUUUGAAAAGAGGGUUAAACAGCACGUGAAAUUGUUGAAAGGGAAGCGCUUGUGACCAGACGUGCGCCGGGGUGUUCAGCGGGCGUUCUCGCCCGUGCACUCGCCUCGGCGCAGGCCAGCGUCGGUUUGGGUGGGGGGAUAAAGGCGUCUGGAAUGUGGCUCCUCCGGGAGUGUUAUAGCCAGACGUGCCAUGCCUCCGCCUGGACCGAGGUACGCGUUCUGCAAGGACGCUGGCGUAAUGGUCUCCAGCGACCCGUCUUGAAACACGGACCAAGGAGUCGAGGUUUUGCGCGAGUGUUUGGGUGGAAAACCCGCACGCGUAAUGAAAGUGAACGUAGGUGAGAGCUUCGGCGCAUCACCGACCGAUCCUGAUGUUUUCGGAUGGAUUUGAGUAAGAGCGUAGGGCCUCGGACCCGAAAGAUGGUGAACUAUGCUUGGAUAGGGUGAAGCCAGAGGAAACUCUGGUGGAGGCUCGCAGCGGUUCUGACGUGCAAAUCGAUCGUCAAAUCUGAGCAUGGGGGCGAAAGACUAAUCGAACCAUCUAGUAGCUGGUUACCGCCGAAGUUUCCCUCAGGAUAGCAGUGUUGUUCUUCAGUUUUAUGAGGUAAAGCGAAUGAUUAGGGACUCGGGGGCGCUAUUUAGCCUUCAUCCAUUCUCAAACUUUAAAUAUGUAAGAAGCCCUUGUUGCUUAAUUGAACGUGGGCAUUCGAAUGUAUCAACACUAGUGGGCCAUUUUUGGUAAGCAGAACUGGCGAUGUGGGAUGAACCAUACGGGGGGUUAAGGUGCCAGAGUAGACGCUCAUCAGACACCACAAAAGGCGUUAGCACAUCUUGACAGCAGGACGGUGGCCAUGGAAGUCGGAAUCCGCUAAGGACUGUGUAACAACUCACCUGCCGAAUGUGCUAGCCCUGAAAAUGGAUGGCGCUCAAGCGUCUCACCCAUACCCCCCCCUCAGGGUAGAAACGAUGCCCUGAGGAGUAGGCGGCCGCAGUGCUGUGUGACGAAGGCUAGGGC